This 23-nucleotide unclassified non-coding RNA is filed under the name Mus musculus (house mouse). RNAcentral describes it as "oocyte_clustered_small_RNA9764". Lineage: Eukaryota; Metazoa; Chordata; Mammalia; Rodentia; Muridae. The record is from RNAcentral.
AAUUUUGGAUACUAUCUGGUGCG